Molecule: long non-coding RNA, 1437 nt
Organism: Passer domesticus (house sparrow)
Lineage: Eukaryota; Metazoa; Chordata; Aves; Passeriformes; Passeridae
Exons: 3
Source: RefSeq, a predicted model, not a curated record
CAGUGCAGAUGCACCAGGAAUUAAAGCCUCCCCAGCUGCAGCCUGCUGUGCACAGGUUCUCACCCUGGCAACAUUCUCUGUCUCCUCAGUCCUCUGCAAGGAGGAGACAGCACCUGCAGCUCCAGUCCACCCAGGACAAAAGCUGUGUGGCUGGUCCUACUCCUAGGAGCAGAAGCAGCACCACUCAGAGAGGGGUCUUAAAUGCCAGGAACAACCCCAGGUCACUCCAAAGCUGAACUUCAAGAACUAGUGCCUUUAGGCAAGGAGAAGCACCUAUGAGACCUACUCCAUCCUGGUCCAGCUUUGCUCCAAAGCUCCACAGGGCUUUUAACAUGAAAUAAGGGUUGGAAAGAGCCCUCUGAUGGACCUGCUUUCCAGGACAGCAGAGUACAAAGGGAGCUGCUUGGAGAGACAUGCUUGGCUACUCCACCUGCAGAUCCAGAGACCCAGGAAGAAGGAACCCAGCCCUGCAGCUGGGCAGAGCCUGGCCUUCCCCCCACCUCACUGCCUGAGGUCAGUGAGCAUGCUGGAGGAAAGGCGACCUUCCCACCCCUAUCCGGGCAGGAGAACAGCAACCACAAGCAGCAAUUUAUAGCACCAGGAUCCCAGCUAGAGCCUCCCUUCAGCCCACACAGCACUAAAUCAAGGCUUUUUAGUGAUGCCUUGGUGGGAUUUUCUUCCUGGGCAUCACCCUCAACAGUGACAACCACUCCAAAUGUCUGCAAGAAGCUCCUACAGAAAUAGCAGUGGGAAAGCUGUGCAGAAAGCCUCAGUUUGAAGUGCACAGUGCUCCAGUCCCUUCAAGAAACCUGAGCCGGAUCCAGAUCCCAAGGCCUCAAAGGCCUCUAGGGAGCAUAUUUUGAUAUUUGUGACACACAGAAAAGCCACAUAAGGUUGAUUCUUUAGCCUCUCUAUUAAAAGAAAUUUUGCUAUGCACACUCAGAGGGAAAAAGUGCUGACACAAUGAGGGUUUUCUGCCCCUCAACUGGUGCAGCUUCUUCCUGAUCUCUAUGCUAAUACUUGCAUUAUUGCUGAGGCAAUUAUGAGCAGAUGAAACCCCAUAAAGUCAUGCAAGAAAAGCAACAAGUGCUUCUGUUCUAUGCUCCUUGAAGCAAGCAUCCAAUCUUUCCACACCACAAACUCUCCUAGACAAAGGCAAACGUAAGCAACAGCCCCAGGAACACACAGCCACUUCAAAAACAUGCCAGCCUAAAUCCCGCUGUCCUAUCCAAGCAGAAGAUCUCAUUACCUCUUUUCUAAUCAGUGUGAACCACAAGUACCCUCUGCCCACACUCCAAAGGUUAGAGGCUGGCACAACGGUAUAGCUGACUGAACACCAGUGUGUCACCAAGUGAGCUGACAGAAACUGCCAAAGUUUCCUGCUCUGCCCAAGCUGAUGCUGGAUCCAGCUCUAGUUCAGCUGAUGCUGCUCAGUAA